Long non-coding RNA from Lutra lutra (Eurasian river otter), 621 nucleotides. RefSeq lists it as uncharacterized. The transcript is spliced from 3 exons. NCBI's taxonomy places the organism in Eukaryota, Metazoa, Chordata, Mammalia, Carnivora, Mustelidae. The record is from RefSeq and is a predicted model, not a curated record.
UUUUCGUUGUAAGCGGGAAUUUUUCCCUACCUCACUCCUCAACCAAAGACUCUCUUCUCAGCUUUUCUCUCCCCCAGACUCCCUCUUGUUUACUGUUUGCCUCAAUUAGAAUAGUUUGCUCCAGAGAGGGAUUUUUCCCCCUCCUGGUCUUUCAACGUUUUCGAGGAACGCCCUCAGCAUAUCUCUGUUUCUCUGCGUGAGAGCUGAGAGAUAACGAAGCCAAGUACCCUGCGUCAGUUCUUCAGGCAACCUCUAGACCUGUUCAAACAAAUAGAAUUUUUGGAAAUCUGUUCUGUUCGGUCUGGAGCCAGUUCGCGUGCUGGGAUCUGGGCUGCGGUCUUCAAGCCUCCUGGACCUAUACAAAUAUGCAGCCAUGAUAAAGGAGAAGAAUUGAAAAAAAAAAAAUAUGCACACUCUUCACAAGUGAUUUCAGUUCUGGUGUGAAUAUGCAGAAGACAGACGAUACAUAAGUAGGUUUCCAUCUCAUCAUAUUAUCUUUCUGCAUAAUUAAUAUAGGAGACUUUGUGAUGCGCAUUGAGAAUACAAAAAUCAGUGGGGUAUUUUCAUUUUAUCCAAAUAGCUAAUAAACUACAGAUGGGUUGGCAAAUAGUUUUCCUUUAA